UUCCCUUUAUGGUAAGGAGUUGACACAGUAGAUUCAGUGUUGAUUUCAUUCAUCUAAUCUUCUGUAGAUAAACGAUAUCUGCUGGUCAUCACAAUUCCUAUGUGUUACUUGCUGCAGGUGAUUUGAAACGGAUAUGUGAGACAGAUCUUGGCCUUGUUUCUCAGUGUUGUUUAACAAAGCAUGUAUUCAGAAUGAGUAAGCAGUAUUUGGCCAAUGUGGCUUUGAAGAUAAAUGUGAAGGUUGGAGGAAGAAAUACUGUACUUGUUGAUGCAAUAUCAAGGCGCAUUCCUUUAGUCAGCGACCGGCCCACUAUUAUUUUUGGUGCUGAUGUUACCCAUCCUCAUCCUGGGGAAGACUCAAGCCCAUCUAUUGCAGCUGUAUUCUAUCUUUCUCCACUCUUCUGAAUGCCUCUUAUCUUGUAUUCACUGAAUUUGAUCUUGCCUUUUGCAAUUUGAACUGACAAAAGGUUUUUGAAAUUGAAAUGCAGGUUGUGGCUUCUCAGGAUUGGCCUGAGAUUACAAAGUAUGCUGGUUUGGUUUGUGCUCAAGCCCAUCGACAAGAGCUUAUCCAAGAUCUGUUCAAAGAAUGGCAGGAUCCUGUAAGAGGGAAAGCCACUGGUGGAAUGAUCAAGUAUGUUUGGCUAUCUCUCUGUCAUAUUUGUCAUAGGAUCAAGUGCCUCUAUUGGUCUCAAGUGCUCUAGGGCCUGUGCAUAUGCUGCUUCCUAGGGUCUUGAGGGAUUUUAUAGUUUACUUUAGUUUGUUUUACUUGCUUUGCCUAUGCUUUUUGCUAUAGUGAUUUUGUUUUUACUUUGGUUGAUACCAUAUAUGACGAUUAAGGCUCCAUUUGUUUGCCGAAAUAACUUAUAUUGAAAAAUGUUUUCCAUGAAAAAUAUUUUCCAACAAAAUAACUUAUUUUUCAUUGUUUAAAUUUAAUUUAAAAAUAAAAUAUAUUAACAAAAUUUUAUACACAGG
This 971-nucleotide long non-coding RNA is filed under the name Manihot esculenta (cassava). Its description in RNAcentral is "long non-coding RNA (MESC_LNC001281)". Lineage: Eukaryota; Viridiplantae; Streptophyta; Magnoliopsida; Malpighiales; Euphorbiaceae. The record is from RNAcentral.